This 449-nucleotide ribosomal RNA is filed under the name uncultured bacterium. Its description in RNAcentral is "bacterial SSU rRNA". It matches the Rfam family "Bacterial small subunit ribosomal RNA", at positions 355 to 825 of the family's 1533-position model. The record is from RNAcentral.
UCAAGAAACUUCCACAAUGGACGAAAGUCUGAUGGAGCAACGCCGCGUGCAGGACGAAGGCCCUUGGGUCGUAAACUGCUUUUAUGAGUGAAGAUUUUAGACGGUAACUCAAGAAUAAGGGACGGCUAACUACGUGCCAGCAGCCGCGGUCAUACGUAGGUCCCAAGCGUUAUCCGGAAUUACUGGGCGUAAAGAGUUGUGUAGGUGGCAGUUCAAGUUAGUAGUGAAAGCGUGUGGCUCAACCACAUAUCCACUAUUAAAACUGGGCAGCUAGAGGGCGAGAGAGGUUAUUGGAAUUUCUAGUGUAGGAGUGAAAUCCGUAGAUAUUAGAAGGAACACCGAUGGCGUAGGCAGAUAACUGGCUCGCACCUGACACUCAGACACGAAAGCGUGGGGAGCGAACGGGAUUAGAUACCCCAGUAGUCCCUGAGCGGGCUGGCAAGGCGCAU